This 732-nucleotide long non-coding RNA is filed under the name Rattus norvegicus (Norway rat). Its description in RNAcentral is "long non-coding RNA NONRATT020052". Lineage: Eukaryota; Metazoa; Chordata; Mammalia; Rodentia; Muridae. The record is from RNAcentral.
GGCAAGCAGAGCUGCCCCGUCAUCUUCGGCUCUGUGCAGGGCUACGAGCAGAAGCUGCUGGUGUCCACCGAGGAAGGCAAUGAGAACUCCCGGGCCAACCCGGAGGAGGUAACAGAGGUGGUAAGUGUCAGAGCGACUCCAUGGUGUUUGGUGGGUCGGUGAAGGACUCCUGGUGGAGGGUGAAGGCCAAGGAAAGCUUCAGUGGGCCAGAAGGCUGGGUCGAGUGAGGCCCCUGAGCUCAGGACAGAAGAGGGACUGGGUGGGUUCCAGCUCCGUCUGCCCUCUUACCUACUUAGGUCCGAAUCAUCAAGCAGUUGACCCUGGACCGGACAGUGGAUCCCAAAGAUGUCGCGGUCCUUACACCUUACAAUGCACAGGCUGCAGCAAUCAGCAGGGGCCUCAUGCAAAGAGGGGUCACUGGAGUGACUGUGACCUCUAUCACCAAGAGCCAGGGUGAGGCUAGCUCUAAGGAGGCCAUAUUUGUGUGGUGGUCAGCAGGGGGGCGGGCAGUGGGCGUAGAGCUGUGAAUUCAUCUAAUAUCCCCUCUCUGCCUUCCAGGGAGUGAGUGGCGCUAUGUGAUAGUGAGCACGGUUCGAACAUGCCCCAGAAGUGAUAUGGACCAGCGGCCAACCAAGAGCUGGCUCAAGAAGUUUCUGGGCUUUGUUGUGGACCCCCACCAAGUAAACGUGGCCAUCACCCGGGCCCAGGAGGGGCUGUGCAUCAUUGGUGAGG